UUAUAUGGUCAAGCAUGAAAGUGCAUCCGGUGGAUGCCUUGGCAGCCAAAGGCGAUGAAGGACGUCGUAACCUGCGAUAAGCCUCGGGGAGCCGGUAAACAGGCCCUGAUCCGGGGAUUUCCGAAUGGGGAAACCCACCGCUUUCGGGCGGUAUCCAUACCUGAAUCCAUAGGGUAUGGAGGCGAACCCGGGGAACUGAAAUAUCUAAGUACCCGGAGGAAAAGAAAUCAACCGAGAUUCCCUCAGUAGCGACGAGCGAACGGGGAACAGCCCUUAAGCCCAUGAAUGGUUAGUGGAAGCAUCUGGAAAGUUGCGCGAUACAGGGUGAUAGCCCCGUACACGAAAACGAUCCAUGGGUGAAAUCGAGUAGGACGGGGCACGUGAAACCCUGUCUGAACUGUCUUCGGACGAGGGGGGACCAUCCUCCAAGGCUAAAUACUCUUGGCUUACCGAUAGUGAACCAGUACCGUGAGGGAAAGGCGAAAAGAACCCCUGUGAGGGGAGUGAAAUAGAACCUGAAACCGGAUGCAUACAAGCAGUGGGAGCCUACCGCCUCCCGGCUUUGGGAAUAUCCUUCGGGAGAAGACCCGUCAAGCUGGGACGCAAGGUGGGUGACUGCGUACCUUUUGUAUAAUGGGUCAGCGAGUUACUUUUACUGGCAAGGUUAACCGUUUAGGGGAGCCGUAGGGAAACCGAGUCUUAACAGGGCGUUCAACCUCGCUUGCGAGGCAGUCGGUAGGAGUAGGCCCGAAACCGAGCGAUCUAGCCAUGGGCAGGGUGAAGGUUGAGUAACAUCAACUGGAGGCCCGAACCCACUAAUGUUGAAAAAUUAGGGGAUGACCUGUGGCUCGGAGUGAAAGGCUAAUCAAGCUCGGAGAUAGCUGGUUCUCCUCGAAAUCUAUUUAGGUAGAGCCUCUCGUAUCACCGCCGGGGGUAGAGCACUGUUUGGGCUAGGGGGUCACCUAGACUUACCAACCCCAUGCAAACUCCGAAUACCGGUGAGUGCAAUCGAGGGAGACACACGGCGGGUGCUAACGUCCGUCGUGGAAAGGGAAACAACCCAGACCGCCAGCUAAGGUCCCCAAGUGACAGUUAAGUGGGAAACGAUGUGGGAAGGCCCAGACAGCCAGGAGGUUGGCUUAGAAGCAGCCAUCCUUUAAAGAAAGCGUAAUAG
This 1174-nucleotide ribosomal RNA is filed under the name Gammaproteobacteria bacterium. RNAcentral describes it as "partial 23S ribosomal RNA". It matches the Rfam family "Bacterial large subunit ribosomal RNA", at positions 1 to 1140 of the family's 2925-position model. Lineage: Bacteria; Pseudomonadati; Pseudomonadota; Gammaproteobacteria. The record is from RNAcentral.